Molecule: ribosomal RNA, 586 nt
Filed under: uncultured bacterium
Lineage: Bacteria
Description: partial 16S ribosomal RNA
Rfam family: Bacterial small subunit ribosomal RNA
Source: RNAcentral
UGGGGAAUUUUGGACAAUGGGCGAAAGCCUGAUCCAGCAAUGCCGCGUGUGUGAAGAAGGCCUUCGGGUUGUAAAGCACUUUUGUCCGGAAAGAAAUCCUUGGCUCUAAUACAGUCGGGGGAUGACGGUACCGGAAGAAUAAGCACCGGCUAACUACGUGCCAGCAGCCGCGGUAAUACGUAGGGUGCAAGCGUUAAUCGGAAUUACUGGGCGUAAAGCGUGCGCAGGCGGUUUUGUAAGACGGAUGUGAAAUCCCCGGGCUUAACCUGGGAACUGCAUUCGUGACUGCAAGGCUAGAGUAUGGCAGAGGGGGGUAGAAUUCCACGUGUAGCAGUGAAAUGCGUAGAGAUGUGGAGGAAUACCGAUGGCGAAGGCAGCCCCCUGGGCCAAUACUGACGCUCAUGCACGAAAGCGUGGGGAGCAAACAGGAUUAGAUACCCUGGUAGUCCACGCCCUAAAACGAUGUCAACUAGUUGUUGGGGAUUCAUUUCCUUAGUAACGUAGCUAACGCGUGAAGUUGACCGCCUGGGGAGUACGGUCGCAAGAUUAAAACUCAAAUGAAUUGACGGGGUCAUAGCUGUUUCCU